UACGUAGGUGACAAGCGUUGUCCGGAUUUACUGGGCGUAAAGAGCGCGCAGGCGGUCGUUCAAGUCGAGUGUGAAAGCCCCCGGCUCAACUGGGGAGGGUCAUUCGAUACUGAUCGACUCGAAGGCAGGAGAGGGAAGUGGAAUUCCCGGUGUAGUGGUGAAAUGCGUAGAUAUUCGGAAGAACACCAGUGGCGAAGGCGGCUCACUGGCCCGUUGCCGACGCUCAGGCGCGACAGCGUGGGGAGCAAACAGG
This 253-nucleotide ribosomal RNA is filed under the name uncultured bacterium. Its description in RNAcentral is "partial 16S ribosomal RNA". It matches the Rfam family "Bacterial small subunit ribosomal RNA", at positions 524 to 776 of the family's 1533-position model. The record is from RNAcentral.